Suricata suricatta (meerkat) is the source of this 653-nucleotide long non-coding RNA. RefSeq lists it as uncharacterized. The record is from RefSeq and is a predicted model, not a curated record. Lineage: Eukaryota; Metazoa; Chordata; Mammalia; Carnivora; Herpestidae. The transcript is spliced from 3 exons.
GCAUAAGGUCAGGGGAUCUGACUGGCCUCUGCCACAUGUUGGCAACCUAUAGUUGAUUCUGUCUAACUGGAUGGCCUAAUGGUGCUCCCCUGGACCUCUUCACUCUAUUUUACCAAUCCCGCAGUAGAAAUGUUCAGUCUAGAGGAUGAGGCCUUUUCCAGAAAGGGGAAGAUCAUUCUUCAGUCAAGAAUAUGGGAAGCUCAAGGCUUCAGAUCUGAUAAAUUAAACUGUAAAUUGCCUGCUACUGAAAAAAGUAUCAGCUACAAUCAUGCAACCCCUGAGGAGAAACUUUUGAAGGGACCCUUCUGUGAGAAAUUUUCUGAGAGGAAACUUCCAAGGAAACUUGUCAAGAGGAACCCGAUGAGAGGAGCCUUGACCAGGGGGAGGAAACCACCGCCUCCUACCUUUAAUUCAUGUGGUUCAGAUGAAGCUGCCUUGACUUCUUGCCUCCAGGAGUAGACACUUGACUCAAGCCUGGCCAGAGAAGCAAGGACAGCGUGAGGACACCAAAUACAAGAACUUUCCCUUGCCUGACCACAUGAAGCUGCGUUGCUGUAAGACGGUCUGCGAGUUACGUCCUGCCGGCAUCCCAGAUGAGUAGAAGGAAGAGAUUCCUUGCUUAUUUUAUUUAAAACAUCUCCCCUCUAGGCAAA